UGUGAAAGGAGACAAAAACAUGGUGGACUAAUCUGCAAAUGUACUCUUAAACCUCUUCCCCAACGUGAUGUCCGCCGCCGAGGGAGAAACGCCGGUGGCCGAUGGGGCUCCGCCGCCAGAGGCGCUCUACUCCUUCGGGACGCCGUGGCCGGAGCUCAACCAAGGCCUCUCCUACAGCGACACGUUCCGAUGCGCUGAUGCGGACGCCGCCACCACCUUGAUUGAGUUCUACGCCACUAACUACAAGAGCUCCGCGCCAUUGCCAGGGUGGGUCAAGAGGAUUCGUAGCGGGCAGCGAAUGAAGGCUUCAUUUUCUUUGCAGAUAACUGUUGAUGGUGAAGUUGUCACCGAUCCGGAUAUGAUUUUGAGGGAUGGUUGUAAGUUGGUAUAUCAUCGUCUCCCUUGGCAGGAGCCAUUUGCGCCAUAUUUUCUGGAAGUGCUUUACGAGGAUGAUGACAUGGUUGCCCUUAAUAAGCCUUCUGGCUUGCAAGUUCUGCCUAAAGGACUCUUCCAGCAGCGCACUGUUCUAGCACAGCUUCAAUUGAAAGACUGGAAGAUGACAUCAUUCUACUCCAAGAGAAAACAUGUGCAGUCACAUCCAGUUCCUGUUCAUCGCUUAGGAAGGGGAACAUCAGGCCUCCUGCUCUGUGCCAAGACAAAGGUCGCCAAAGUUCGACUUGCAUCUUAUUUUGCUGAAGGAGCUAUAAAUGCUGGAAACAAAAGGGAUAAAUCAGAAUUCGGCGAGGAGCGGAAAAUUUCAAAAUUUUAUCGAGCCUUAGUGACUGGCAUACUUGAUAAUGAUGAAGUUGUGGUUACCCAACCCAUAGGGCUAGUUCAUUAUCCUGGAGUUGCAGAGGGACUUUAUGCAGCAUGUUCCUCAGGAAAGCCAGCAAUGAGCAACGUAUGUGUUCUUGAGAGACUUGCACACCAAAAUCAUACACUUGUCCAGGUUGAAAUUCAUUCAGGACGACCCCACCAAAUACGGAUACACCUUGCAUACAUUGGUCACCCUCUUGUAGGCAAGUUCCUUGCUCACUGCCAUUUAAAAAUGAUCCUCUGUAUGGUAUUGGUGGGCACCCCAAAUUUGUUGAGCCAGAAUCUACUGGCACAGAUAGUUCUUUUGCAUAUGAUGGAGGUUACGAGAGACCUUUACAACCUGUUCCUGGAGACUGUGGCUAUCACCUACAUGCACAUUGGCUGGUUCUUUGCCAUCCAACUACAAAUAAGAUAGUAAAAAUCACCGCUCCUCUGCCGCAAAUUCUACAGACUCGAGAGGAACGCCGUGCCACCGCCGAGCGAAUCAGUGGUUGAACCUGAUGGAUAUUUCAUAAAGAAGUAAUAUGGCAUUAAUGUAGCCUAUUACAUUCCCUCCAUUUCAUUGAGCACCUUGGCAGGAAAAAUAUCCCAAUUUACAGUGCACUUUGCUGGUGAAUGAAAUUUUGGACCUUUUUCAGCACAACUCUAGAUCCGAGAUCCAGGUUGGAUAUGUAGUUUGUAGACUUAAGGUAGUCUAAAUAUUCAUAUUUAGUACAAACUACAAUUAAAAUUAUUUAUCUAAAUGCUCAUGACAUACCUCCAGCUCCCGAUCUGGAUUUCUUGGAACUACCCACUUACCUAGCUCUAAGGGAU
Panicum hallii is the source of this 1629-nucleotide RNA transcript. It is a transcript of the gene named RNA pseudouridine synthase 5, with no coding region annotated. The transcript is spliced from 15 exons. NCBI's taxonomy places the organism in Eukaryota, Viridiplantae, Streptophyta, Magnoliopsida, Poales, Poaceae. The record is from RefSeq and is a predicted model, not a curated record.